AAAAAAUUAGUUAAACUAUAAUAUUGAUUUGUCAUGUCAAAGUUACUAUAAAAUAGUAUUUUUUA
This 65-nucleotide transfer RNA is filed under the name Neomphalidae sp. Hatoma. Its description in RNAcentral is "tRNA-Asp". Lineage: Eukaryota; Metazoa; Mollusca; Gastropoda; Neomphalida; Neomphalidae. The record is from RNAcentral.